Long non-coding RNA from Poecilia latipinna (sailfin molly), 616 nucleotides. RefSeq lists it as uncharacterized. The transcript has 3 exons. NCBI's taxonomy places the organism in Eukaryota, Metazoa, Chordata, Actinopteri, Cyprinodontiformes, Poeciliidae. The record is from RefSeq and is a predicted model, not a curated record.
UCUAUUUUUUUUUAUAUUUUAGCAGCUAGUUGCAUGUUUCUAAUAUUGAAGUUUUUAUUCUUCCUUCUAGAGCUUAAGGGAUAUCAAAACAUCCAGGCUUGCAGCAGGGAAUACAGUAGAAUCCAAAGCACCAGAGAAAGCAGCAAAGAAACUGGGUAAACAGACAGAUUUUUUUUUUCUUUUUUUUUCCUGAAGAUCCCAACAAACCCACACCUCACCCUGAAGCUACCUGAAGAUGAUGGCUUGAGGAAGGGGCCAUUAUCCAUUCAUCCUGACAUGCCUGGGCUCAAAUGUCUGCAAGCCCUGAAGUGGUUAUCCUGAUUACUGCCAGAGCAUUAAGAGUGAACUCCCUACUGGGAGACGCAGCAGAAAACUGGAGAAAUUUCCCCACAUGUGCCUUCCUUCACUCCUUCCUACACCCACCCAUCCAUUUGUCCAACCUGUCUACAAAGGCCUGUCAUGGAAAAUUGAGAUCCAACACAAUCUGCUAAGAACAUAGAAAACCGUUCGACCCUUCAUGUAAACACGGCAAGAAAAUGCCCUCCACUCAAACUGGCCAAGAAUCAGCCAAAAGGCCCGUGGUCGCCCAGGAGGAGCUGCAGAGAUCCACAGCUCA